Annulohypoxylon moriforme is the source of this 130-nucleotide non-coding RNA. NCBI's taxonomy places the organism in Eukaryota, Fungi, Ascomycota, Sordariomycetes, Xylariales, Hypoxylaceae. The record is from the annotation of a GenBank genome assembly.
GCCCGGUUAGCUCAAUCGGUAGAGGUUAGUGAAUUUUCAUGCUACCCGUUCUUUAAUACAUGAUACUAACUGCUCAAACAGCGUGAGACUCUUAAUCUCAAGGUUGCGGGUUCGACCCCCGCAUCGGGCU